Molecule: long non-coding RNA, 476 nt
Filed under: Brassica napus (rape)
Lineage: Eukaryota; Viridiplantae; Streptophyta; Magnoliopsida; Brassicales; Brassicaceae
Description: long non-coding RNA (BNAP_LNC025228)
Source: RNAcentral
ACACUUCUUCACCUUUUCCCAAAAGUUCUUCAACACGCCAGACUGAUUUGAGUGAUACUCGAACACUUAGUAGUAUACCAUUGUAGGCCAACAAUUACUGGUCCUCUUCAAAAGACUUCUUUCCUUAAUAUCCUAACUGAGCUCGGUAACUAGAUAGCCAAUCUCAUUCUAGAUAAAAACAUACCGCUCUCUAACGGAAGUACUAUGGAAUGGGGAAGGCAUACCAUAACUUUAACUGGCAGCCCGUACUUCCAAAUAAGAACGGUAGACUUGAAUUCACAAAAGUGAAUCCUCUCUAACACUAUGACAUCGCUCAGGAACUACAACCAUGUGUUGUUCCCGAAUCAAACACAAUAUGGGAGGAGAAUUCCAUCCAUAGGCAAGGUCUCUUACGACACCUUGAUCACAAUUCACAUAAGUUUUUUUUUUUUUUAUUUCAAUCAUUCAUAAAAUUUUAAAAAUGCACACAACACACA